This 292-nucleotide ribosomal RNA is filed under the name uncultured bacterium. RNAcentral describes it as "partial 16S ribosomal RNA". It matches the Rfam family "Bacterial small subunit ribosomal RNA", at positions 505 to 796 of the family's 1533-position model. The record is from RNAcentral.
GUUCAAGCCGCCGCGGUAAUACGUAGGGUGCGAGCGUUAAUCGGAAUUACUGGGCGUAAAGCGUGCGCAGGCGGGCUUUUAAGCCAGACGUGAAAUCCCCGGGCUUAACCUGGGAAUGGCGUUUGGGACUGGAAGUCUGGAGUACGGCAGAGGAGACUGGAAUUCCUGGUGUAGCAGUGAAAUGCGUAGAUAUCAGGAGGAACACCGAUGGCGAAGGCAGGUCUCUGGGCUGAUACUGACGCUCAUGCACGAAAGCGUGGGGAGCAAACAGGAUUAGAAACCCGUGUAGUCC